This 253-nucleotide ribosomal RNA is filed under the name uncultured bacterium. RNAcentral describes it as "partial 16S ribosomal RNA". It matches the Rfam family "Bacterial small subunit ribosomal RNA", at positions 524 to 776 of the family's 1533-position model. The record is from RNAcentral.
UACGUAGGGUGCGAGCGUUAAUCGGAAUUACUGGGCGUAAAGCGUGCGCAGGCGGUUUUGUAAGUCCGAUGUGAAAGCCCCGGGCUUAACCUGGGAAUGGCAUUUGGGACUGCAAGGCUUGAGUGCGGCAGAGGAGACUGGAAUUCCUGGUGUAGCAGUGAAAUGCGUAGAUAUCAGGAGGAAUACCGAUGGCGAAGGCAGGUCUCUGGGCUGACACUGACGCUCAUGCACGAAAGCGUGGGGAGCAAACAGG